CUACGGGGGGCUGCAGUCGAGAAUCUUCCACAAUGGACGAAAGUCUGAUGGAGCGACGUCGCGUGAUGGAUGAAGUCUUUCGGGAUGUAAACAUCUUUUAUGAGGGAAGAAGCUUAUUGACGGUACCUCAUGAAUAAGGGGUUGCUAAACUCGUGCCAGCAGCAGCGGUAAUACGAGUGCCCCGAGCGUUAUCCGGAAUCACUGGGCGUAAAGGGUGCGUAGGUGGUCUGAUUAGUCUUUUGUUAAAUUCUCCCGCUCAACGGGGGGCCCGCGAAAGAUACGGUCAGACUAGAGGAUGUGAGAGGUGUACGGAACUCAUGGUGUAGGGGUGAAAUCCGUUGAUAUCAUGGGGAACACCGAAUGCGAAGGCAGUACACUGGCACAUUCCUGACACUGAGGCACGAAAGCGUGGGUAGCGAAUGGGAUUAGAUACCCUAGUAGUC
RNAcentral lists this ribosomal RNA (443 nucleotides) under uncultured bacterium. Its description in RNAcentral is "partial 16S ribosomal RNA". It matches the Rfam family "Bacterial small subunit ribosomal RNA", at positions 339 to 795 of the family's 1533-position model. The record is from RNAcentral.